UGGGGAAUAUUGGACAAUGGGCGCAAGCCUGAUCCAGCCAUGCCGCGUGGGGGAUGAAGGUCUUCGGAUCGUAAACCCCUGUCGAAUGGGACGAAAGACUCGCGAGUGAAUACUUCGCGAGAGUGACGGUACCGUUAAAGGAAGCCACGGCUAACUCUGUGCCAGCAGCCGCGGUAAUACAGAGGUGGCAAGCGUUGUUCGGAAUUACUGGGCGUAAAGCGCGUGUAGGUGGUCGAGUAAGUCGAAUGUGAAAGCCCCGGGCUCAACCCGGGAAGUGCAUCCGAAACUGCUCGACUAGAGUCCCGGAGAGGAAGGCAGAAUUCCCAAUGUAGGGGUGAAAUCCGUAGAUAUUGGGAGGAAUACCGGUGGCGAAGGCGGCCUUCUGGACGGUGACUGACACUCAGACGCGAAAGCGUGGGGAGCAAACAGGAUUAGAUACCCCAGUAGUCCCUGAGCGGGCUGGCAAGGCGCAU
RNAcentral lists this ribosomal RNA (473 nucleotides) under uncultured bacterium. Its description in RNAcentral is "bacterial SSU rRNA". It matches the Rfam family "Bacterial small subunit ribosomal RNA", at positions 355 to 825 of the family's 1533-position model. The record is from RNAcentral.